GUGCUUUAUACAUGCAAGUCGAACGAUGAAGUUCCUUCGGGAAUGGAUUAGUGGCGAACGGGUGAGGAACACGUGAGAAACCUGCCUUUCAUUCUGGGAUAACACCGGGAAACCGGUGCCAAUACCGGAUACUCCAUCUUGGCGGCAUCGCCGAGCUGGGAAAAAAUUUUGAUGAAAGAUGGUCUCGCGGCCUAUCAGCUAGUUGGUGAGGUAAAGGCUCACCAAGGCGACGACGGGUAGCCGGCCUGAGAGGGCGACCGGCCACACUGGGACUGAGACACGGCCCAGACUCCUACGGGAGGCAGCAGUAGGGAAUAUUGGGCAAUGGGCGAAAGCCUGACCCAGCGACGCCGCGUGAGGGAUGAAGGUCUUCGGAUUGUAAACCUCUUUCAGUAGGGAAGAAGCGAAAGUGACGGUACCUAAAGAAGAAGCACCGGCUAAUUAUGUGCCAGCAGCCGCGGUAAUACAUAGGGUGCAAGCGUUGUCCGGAAUUAUUGGGCGUAAAGAGCUCGUAGGUCGUUUGUCGCGUCGAUUGUGAAAAUCUGAGGCUCAACCUCAGACCUGCAGUCGAUACGGGCAAACUAGAGUGUGGUAGGGGAGACUGGAAUUCCUGGUGUAGCGGUGGAAUGCGCAGAUAUCAGGAGGAACACCAAUGGCGAAGGCAGGUCUCUGGGCCAUAACUGACACUGAGGAGCGAAAGUGCGGGGAGCGAACAGGAUUAGAUA
RNAcentral lists this ribosomal RNA (725 nucleotides) under uncultured bacterium. RNAcentral's name for it is "bacterial SSU rRNA". It matches the Rfam family "Bacterial small subunit ribosomal RNA", at positions 44 to 784 of the family's 1533-position model. The record is from RNAcentral.